This 924-nucleotide long non-coding RNA is filed under the name Canis lupus familiaris (dog). Its description in RNAcentral is "lncRNA (ENSCAFG00030020128.1)". The record is from RNAcentral. Lineage: Eukaryota; Metazoa; Chordata; Mammalia; Carnivora; Canidae.
AUGCCUAGGAAUUCCCUAGAUUGUCCUUGCAGCUUUUCUGUAAAUUUGAAAUUAUACCAAAAUAAAAAAUCACGGGAUAUAAUAACCAAGAACGGCAACAAAAAAGGCACUGAACCCGUACUGUCAACAGUGCCGUGUGACCCCUGGCUCAGCUCCAGGGGGACAGAAGCACUUACUGUGCACCCGGCACAAGAGUUGAACCUGGUGGCCCCAAGGUUAAUGAGACAGACCCACCCCUGCCCUCUGAGGACCACCAGAUGUGGGACCAGGAUGAGGAGGCUCCAAGGCCGAGGCGCAGAACGGACACGGAUAGCGCACCGGGCAUGGGCUGGGCGCUCGACAGACUUUAUAGCCACAGCGACGACGCUGAGCAGAAUGACGAUCAUCUCAAGGAGAAAACACUUCGUCAUUCUCUCCGCUUGUGUCCCAGAUGCUACGGAACUGGUCCAGAUCUUACUAUUUGGCCACCUCCUUUCCUUGCAGACUGUGUGGGUUUAUUUUUCCUCUGGUUGCUUUGCCAAAAGCCAGAGUAACAACCCCACAACACCUGCCACUUGGUAAGAGGAGAAUUAUUAUUAUUAUUUUUAACCAAAAAGGCACUGAUUACGGCAGGAAAUCCUGAAGUGUGGGCAGCGAUGGGUCCCAGCUUGGUACGCCCAGACUCUCCACGUGUCCCCCCACGGGGGCCUCUUCCUGUGUCAUUUCUGCACUGGCCUCAGAGGCCCCAUGACCUAACCCCAAAGUAUAGCCAAGGAGAGGGGGUUUAGAGGCUGGCCACUGGAAGAGUCCAGCAAUUUCCUUUUAGGGCUGGACCUGUGACCUCAGGCUACCCCGGCAGCUGUCUUUAGAAUGACCCCCCCGGUAGUCUUGACUGUGGGUUGCACACAUGCAUGUACACGCAAGCACGCCCGCGCACAGCACACA